Molecule: ribosomal RNA, 492 nt
Filed under: uncultured bacterium
Lineage: Bacteria
Description: partial 16S ribosomal RNA
Rfam family: Bacterial small subunit ribosomal RNA
Source: RNAcentral
AGUGAACGCUGGCGGUAGGCCUAACACAUGCAAGUCGAACGGCAGCACAGUAAGAGCUUGCUCUUACGGGUGGCGAGUGGCGGACGGGUGAGGAAUACAUCGGAAUCUACUUUUUCGUGGGGGAUAACGUAGGGAAACUUACGCUAAUACCGCAUACGACCUACGGUUGAAAGCAGGGGAUCUUCGGACCUUGCGCGAUUGAAUGAGCCGAUGUCGGAUUAGCCAGUUGGCGGGGUAAAGGCCCACCAAGGCGACGAUCCGUAGCUGGUCUGAGAGGAUGAUCAGCCACACUGGAACUGAGACACGGUCCAGACUCCUACGGGAGGCAGCAGUGGGGAAUAUUGGACAAUGGGCGCAAGCCUGAUCCAGCCAUACCGCGUGGGUGAAGAAGGCCUUCGGGUUGUAAAGCCCUUUUGUUGGGAAAGAAAAGCAGCAGGUUAAUACCCCGCUGUUCUGACGGUACCCAAAGAAUAAGCACCGGCUAACUUCGUG